This 624-nucleotide ribosomal RNA is filed under the name uncultured bacterium. Its description in RNAcentral is "bacterial SSU rRNA". It matches the Rfam family "Bacterial small subunit ribosomal RNA", at positions 57 to 728 of the family's 1533-position model. The record is from RNAcentral.
GCAGUCGAGCGCACCCUUCGGGGCGAGCGGCGGACGGGUUAGUAACGCGUGGGAACAUACCCUUUUCUAUGGAAUAGCCUUUGGAAACGAAGAGUAAUACCAUAUACGCCCUUCGGGGGAAAGAUUUAUCGGAGAAGGAUUGGCCCGCGUAAGAUUAGAUAGUUGGUGGGGUAAUGGCCUACCAAGUCUACGAUCUUUAGCUGGUUUUAGAGGAUGAUCAGCAACACUGGGACUGAGACACGGCCCAGACUCCUACGGGAGGCAGCAGUGGGGAAUCUUAGACAAUGGGCGCAAGCCUGAUCUAGCCAUGCCGCGUGUGUGAUGAAGGCCUUAGGGUCGUAAAGCACUUUCGCCAGAGAUGAUAAUGACAGUAUCUGGUAAAGAAACCCCGGCUAACUCCGUGCCAGCAGCCGCGGUAAUACGGAGGGGGUUAGCGUUGUUCGGAAUUACUGGGCGUAAAGCGUACGUAGGCGGAUCAGAAAGUAGGGGGUGAAAUCCCGAGGCUCAACCUCGGAACUGCCUCCUAAACUCCUGGUCUUGAGUUCGAGAGAGGUGAGUGGAAUUCCAAGUGUAGAGGUGAAAUUCGUAGAUAUUUGGAGGAACACCAGUGGCGAAGGCGGCUCA